This 502-nucleotide ribosomal RNA is filed under the name uncultured bacterium. Its description in RNAcentral is "partial 16S ribosomal RNA". It matches the Rfam family "Bacterial small subunit ribosomal RNA", at positions 30 to 523 of the family's 1533-position model. The record is from RNAcentral.
AUUGAACGCUGGCGGCAUGCCUUACACAUGCAAGUCGAACGGCAGCAUAGGAGCUUGCUCCUGAUGGCGAGUGGCGAACGGGUGAGUAAUAUAUCGGAACGUGCCCUAGAGUGGGGGAUAACUAGUCGAAAGACUAGCUAAUACCGCAUACGAUCUACGGAUGAAAGUGGGGGAUCGCAAGACCUCAUGCUCCUGGAGCGGCCGAUAUCUGAUUAGCUAGUUGGUGGGGUAAAAGCUCACCAAGGCGACGAUCAGUAGCUGGUCUGAGAGGACGACCAGCCACACUGGGACUGAGACACGGCCCAGACUCCUACGGGAGGCAGCAGUGGGGAAUUUUGGACAAUGGGGGCAACCCUGAUCCAGCAAUGCCGCGUGAGUGAAGAAGGCCUUCGGGUUGUAAAGCUCUUUUGUCAGGGAAGAAACGGUUCUGGAUAAUACCUGGGACUAAUGACGGUACCUGAAGAAUAAGCACCGGCUAACUACGUGCCAGCCGCCGCAGUAA